CGAGUGAAGCGGCAACAGCUCAAAUUUGAAAUCUGGCCUCCUGCGGGGCCCGAGUUGUAAUUUGUAGAGGGCGCUUUGGCGUUGGCACCGACCUAAGUUCCUUGGAACAGGACGUCACAGAGGGUGAGAAUCCCGUACGUGGCCGGCCGCCUCCGCCGUGUAAAGCCCCUUCGACGAGUCGAGUUGUUUGGGAAUGCAGCUCUAAAUGGGAGGUAAAUUCCUUCUAAAGCUAAAUAUUGGCCAGAGACCGAUAGCGCACAAGUAGAGUGAUCGAAAGAUGAAAAGCACUUUGGAAAGAGAGUCAAAAAGCACGUGAAAUUGUUGAAAGGGAAGCGCUUGCAGCCAGACUUGCCUGUAGUUGCUCACCCGGGCUCUUGCCCGGUGCACUCUUCUGUGGGCAGGCCAGCAUCAGUUUGGGCGGCCGGAUAAAGGCCCCGGGAACGUAGCUCCCCCCGGGGAGUGUUAUAGCCCGGGGCGUCAUGCGGCCAGCUCGGACUGAGGUCCGCGCAUCUGCUAGGAUGCUGGCGUAAUGGCUGUAAGCGGCCCGUCUUGAAACACGGACCAAGGAGUCUAACAUCUAUGCGAGUGUUUGGGUGUCAAGCCCGGGCGCGCAAUGAAAGUGAACGGAGGUGGGAACCCCCCCGGGGUGCACCAUCGACCGAUCCUGAUGUCUUCGGAUGGAUUUGAGUAAGAGCAUAGCUGUUGGGACCCGAAAGAUGGUGAACUAUGCCUGAAUAGGGUGAAGCCAGAGGAAACUCUGGUGGAGGCUCGCAGCGGUUCUGACGUGCAAAUCGAUCGUCAAAUUUGGGCAUAGGGGCGAAAGACUAAUCGAACUAUCUAGUAGCUGGU
This 849-nucleotide ribosomal RNA is filed under the name Pseudotetraploa bambusicola. RNAcentral's name for it is "Pseudotetraploa sp. XY-2022a partial large subunit ribosomal RNA". It matches the Rfam family "Eukaryotic large subunit ribosomal RNA", at positions 90 to 955 of the family's 3401-position model. Lineage: Eukaryota; Fungi; Ascomycota; Dothideomycetes; Pleosporales; Tetraplosphaeriaceae. The record is from RNAcentral.